CCUACGGGGGGCAGCAGUGGGGAAUAUUAGACAAUGGGCGAAAGCCUGAUCCAGCCAUGCCGCGUGUGUGAAGAAGGCCUUCGGGUUGUAAAGCACUUUCAGUGGGGAAGAAAGCCUUGGGGCUAAUACCCUCGAGGAAGGACAUCACCCACAGAAGAAGCACCGGCUAACUCCGUGCCAGCAGCCGCGGUAAUACGGAGGGUGCGAGCGUUAAUCGGAAUUACUGGGCGUAAAGCGCGCGUAGGCGGUCUGAUAAGCCGGUUGUGAAAGCCCCGGGCUCAACCUGGGAACGGCAUCCGGAACUGUCAGGCUAGAGUGCAGGAGAGGAAGGUAGAAUUCCCGGUGUAGCGGUGAAAUGCGUAGAGAUCGGGAGGAAUACCAGUGGCGAAGGCGGCCUUCUGGACUGACACUGACGCUGAGGUGCGAAAGCGUGGGUAGCAAACAGGAUUAGAUACCCUGGUAGUC
Molecule: ribosomal RNA, 465 nt
Filed under: Vreelandella stevensii
Lineage: Bacteria; Pseudomonadati; Pseudomonadota; Gammaproteobacteria; Oceanospirillales; Halomonadaceae
Description: partial 16S ribosomal RNA
Rfam family: Bacterial small subunit ribosomal RNA
Source: RNAcentral